This is a long non-coding RNA of Delphinapterus leucas (beluga whale), 1518 nucleotides long. RefSeq lists it as uncharacterized. The record is from RefSeq and is a predicted model, not a curated record. NCBI's taxonomy places the organism in Eukaryota, Metazoa, Chordata, Mammalia, Artiodactyla, Monodontidae.
UCUCUGGCUCCACAUAUGCCUUCUGAGUAUCAAGCAAAGCUCUUACUCUGUCAAGGAGAAAGGGCCAGAUGCUCAGAGCUGAAGCGCUUUAACAGUUCAACCUCCUGGAAAAGUGUGAGAGCUGCCAGCAGACUCAAGCCUCUGUGGCCCUUACAGGGAAGCCAACCUUAGGCCCAGAAGAUGUUUUCUCAUGAGUAGAGCCAGGUUAUGCCUUUUUGCCAAGAAUGCCACAGAAGAAAUGUGCCCACAGCACGCCACACCCAUCUGCAGUUUUAUCGUCUGUUUAGUCAAGCUCCGGCUGGAUAGAGCAAAACUGGGAGUGGUUUGGCAAGAUCCAAGGCUACGUCCAAGUAGAGAAAAACAUCAACUUAAGAUAAGAACCUGAGUGGUGGAAGUGCACCCAAGUGGAAAGGACCAUACACAGAUCCACUGACAUGUCCUCUCUCUUAUCUACCUGCCAUCCCUUGAGGCUCAGCAUUAUCUUAGCUUCCCAGAAGAGGAAAAAGAAGUACAGAGAUGGAAAAGGAUGCACAGAUCUCAACCCAAAGGAAGGACAGCGUGUUCCAGCUGAAUCUGAGAUGAGCAAACACGUUGCAGGCAAGCAAAGCUAACAGCUGGGUCUGCCAUCUGACUGAAGACGAGGCUGAGACGAGGAAUCCCACAUUCAGCUGCUGGGUAAAACCUACAGGGACAUCUGACCAAGGGCACCAGGUCUUCAGGAAAAGAACAUGGACCCCCUCCUCUUUCUGUUCUCGAUGAGAACAAUGAUUUUCAGCAGUCAAGCCUUGCAGAGAUGUGCCUUCCAGAGAGAAACAGAAAAUACAUUUGCUGAGCUCCCUGGUAACCCCAGCUGCCCCUCCUAGCACAGUUUAUCCUUUCAAAUCAUUUGGUCCACGUGCACCCUCAGCAGCACACGCCUCCACUGAGAAUCAGGGAACACUGCACUGGGGUGUUGUAGAACAGUCUGCUCUCGACUGAGAACAGAGUACACUGAAACCUGAUGGUUGAAAAUGGAAAAGGCUACCAGUCACACAGCCACAGGGGAUUGAUUGAAUUGGGAAUAAAAUAAAAUAUUUUAAAACUUUCCUGCCUUGGCUUUCAGCUGACAUCUUACCACCCACUAAGCGAUGGUUUGCAGAAAAACAAAGCACGCUGUUCAGGAAACUGUGAGGUAGGGAAUCUACAAUGGAUUCAUAUGGCCUUGCUGUUGCCCCACACAGCCCAGCUGAGCAGAUGAAGAGCUUCAAACUGUUACUCCUUGGGAAGUGCGUGUGCGUGUGUGUGUGUGUGUGUGUUCGUGCACACAUCCAGAACACAAGACUGAACGUUAAGACAGUUCUUAUUCCGUAGCACAUUUUUAAUGACAGGAAUUAAAAAAUGCCCACUAACAAUGGAUUUUUCCAAAGGCUCAUAACAAACCCUGACUCUCACUGCUGUACACUUGCAACCUUGAAACAUAGUGAUUAUGUGUUAUUUCUAACUCUCAGCAAUUAAUAUGCAACCAGAUGUAUCAUUAUC